Molecule: transfer RNA, 73 nt
Filed under: Gemmataceae bacterium
Lineage: Bacteria; Pseudomonadati; Planctomycetota; Planctomycetia; Gemmatales; Gemmataceae
Description: tRNA-Lys
Rfam family: tRNA
About the family: Transfer RNA (tRNA) molecules are approximately 80 nucleotides in length. Their secondary structure includes four short double-helical elements and three loops (D, anti-codon, and T loops).
Source: RNAcentral
GAGGGCGUAGCUCAGCCGGUAGAGCAUCGGACUUUUAAUCCGCAGGUCCUGGGUUCGAAUCCCAGCGCCCUCA